UACGGGGGGGGCAAGCGUUGUUCGGAAUUACCGGGCGUAAAGGGUGCGUAGGCGGUUCGCUAAGUUGGAUGUGAAAACUCUGGGCCUAACCCAGAGCCUGCAUCCAAUACUGACGAGCUAGAGUUCUGGAGGGGGUAGCGGAAUUCCUGGUGUAGCGGUGAAAUGCGUAGAUAUCAGGAGGAACACCGGUGGCGAAGGCGGCUACCUGGACAGAGUCUGACGCUGAGGCACGAAAGCUAGGGGAGCAAACAGG
Molecule: ribosomal RNA, 253 nt
Filed under: uncultured bacterium
Lineage: Bacteria
Description: partial 16S ribosomal RNA
Rfam family: Bacterial small subunit ribosomal RNA
Source: RNAcentral